UACGUAGGGUGCGAGCGUUAAUCGGAAUUACUGGGCGUAAAGCGUGCGCAGGCGGUUUGCUAAGACCGAUGUGAAAUCCCCGGGCUUAACCUGGGAACUGCAUUGGUGACUGGCAGGCUAGAGUAUGGCAGAGGGGGGGUAGAAUUCCACGUGUAGCAGUGAAAUGCGUAGAGAUGUGGAGGAAUACCGAUGGCGAAGGCAGCCCCCUGGGCCAACACUGACGCUCAGGCACGAAAGGCGUGGGGAGCAAACAGG
This 255-nucleotide ribosomal RNA is filed under the name uncultured bacterium. RNAcentral's name for it is "partial 16S ribosomal RNA". It matches the Rfam family "Bacterial small subunit ribosomal RNA", at positions 524 to 776 of the family's 1533-position model. The record is from RNAcentral.